RNAcentral lists this ribosomal RNA (879 nucleotides) under uncultured bacterium. RNAcentral describes it as "bacterial SSU rRNA". It matches the Rfam family "Bacterial small subunit ribosomal RNA", at positions 13 to 887 of the family's 1533-position model. The record is from RNAcentral.
UUGAUCCUGGCUCAGGACGAACGCUGGCGGCGUGCCUAACACAUGCAAGUCGAACGAGAAUCUUUGAACAGAUCUUUUCGGAGUGACGUUCAAAGAGGAAAGUGGCGGACGGGCGAGUAACGCGUGAGUAACCUGCCCAUAAGAGGGGGAUAAUCCAUGGAAACGUGGACUAAUACCGCAUAUUGUAGUUAAGUUGCAUGACUUGAUUAUGAAAGAUUUAUCGCUUAUGGAUGGACUCGCGUCAGAUUAGAUAGUUGGUGAGGUAACGGCUCACCAAGUCAACGAUCUGUAGCCGAACUGAGAGGUUGAUCGGCCGCAUUGGGACUGAGACACGGCCCAGACUCCUACGGGAGGCAGCAGUGGGGAAUAUUGCGCAAUGGGGGCAACCCUGACGCAGCAACGCCGCGUGCAGGAAGAAGGUCUUCGGAUUGUAAACUGUUGUCGCAAGGGAAGAAGACAGUGACGGUACCUUGUGAGAAAGUCACGGCUAACUACGUGCCAGCAGCCGCGGUAAUACGUAGGUGACAAGCGUUGUCCGGAUUUACUGGGUGUAAAGGGCGCGUAGGCGGACUGUCAAGUCAGUCGUGAAAUACCGGGGCUUAACCCCGGGGCUGCGAUUGGAACUGACAGCCUUGAGUAUCGGAGAGGAAAGCGGAAUUCCUAGUGUAGCGGUGAAAUGCGUAGAUAUUAGGAGGAACACCAGUGGCGAAGGCGGCUUUCUGGACGACAACUGACGCUGAGGCGCGAAAGUGUGGGGAGCAAACAGGAUUAGAUACCCUGGUAGUCCACACCGUAAACGAUGGAUACUAGGUGUAGGAGGUAUCGACCCCUUCUGUGCCGCAGUUAACACAAUAAGUAUCCCACCUGGGGAGUACGACC